GACGGAGGGUGCUAGCGUUGUUCGGAAUUACUGGGCGUAAAGGGCGCGUAGGCGGCCGAUUAAGUCGGGGGUGAAAGCCUGUGGCUCAACCACAGAAUUGCCUUCGAUACUGGUUGGCUUGAGACCGGAAGAGGACAGCGGAACUGCGAGUGUAGAGGUGAAAUUCGUAGAUAUUCGCAAGAACACCAGUGGCGAAGGCGGCUGUCUGGUCCGGUUCUGACGCUGAGGCGCGAAAGCGUGGGGAGCAAACAGG
Molecule: ribosomal RNA, 253 nt
Filed under: uncultured bacterium
Lineage: Bacteria
Description: partial 16S ribosomal RNA
Rfam family: Bacterial small subunit ribosomal RNA
Source: RNAcentral